AGUCGAGGGGCAGCAUUUUAGUUUGCUUGCAACUAAAGAUGGCGACUGGCGCACGGGUGAGUAACACGUAUCCAACCUGCCGAUAACUCGGGGAUAGCCUUUCGAAAGAAAGAUUAAUAUCCGAUGGUAUAUUAAAACCGCAUGGUUUUACUAUUAAAGAAUUUCGGUUAUCGAUGGGGAUGCGUUCCAUUAGUUUGUUGGCGGGGUAACGGCCCACCAAGACUACGAUGGAUAGGGGUUCUGAGAGGAAGGUCCCCCACAUUGGAACUGAGACACGGUCCAAACUCAUACGGGAGGCAGCAGUGAGGAAUAUUGGUCAAUGGACGAGAGUCUGAACCAGCCAAGUAGCGUGAAGGAUGACUGCCCUAUGGGUUGUAAACUUCUUUUAUAUGGGAAUAAAGUAUUCCACGUGUGGGAUUUUGUAUGUACCAUAUGAAUAAGGAUCGGCUAACUCCGUGCCAGCAGCCGCGGUAAUACGGAGGAUCCGAGCGUUAUCCGGAUUUAUGGGGUUUAAAGGGAGC
RNAcentral lists this ribosomal RNA (521 nucleotides) under Bacteroides sp. HGA0036. Its description in RNAcentral is "bacterial SSU rRNA". It matches the Rfam family "Bacterial small subunit ribosomal RNA", at positions 60 to 570 of the family's 1533-position model. Lineage: Bacteria; Pseudomonadati; Bacteroidota; Bacteroidia; Bacteroidales; Bacteroidaceae. The record is from RNAcentral.